ACAGUACUACAAACUCUGCUGCUUCAAUAUAAGAGAUUUUUCAUUUUACAGUAUUGGAGUUCUCAUAUCCAACAUAGCGAUGGUGAUGGAAAACUAUUUCAAUUUGGAGGCUCUAGGAAAGGUCAGGAGGCAUUCAGGGAAAAGUAUACAGGAGACAUCUGGGAUUUUUGCAAGGGAACUUAGUUUUUCUUUUUCCCAAGAUCUACACUAGAGGGCACCUGCUAAGCGGGAUAUCAGGCAUCAGUGAGGCCACUCCAGAAAUGGCAGCAACUUUGGAC
This is a long non-coding RNA of Meriones unguiculatus (Mongolian gerbil), 278 nucleotides long. RefSeq lists it as uncharacterized. The transcript is spliced from 3 exons. The record is from RefSeq and is a predicted model, not a curated record. Lineage: Eukaryota; Metazoa; Chordata; Mammalia; Rodentia; Muridae.